This 376-nucleotide long non-coding RNA is filed under the name Malus domestica (apple). RNAcentral describes it as "long non-coding RNA (MDOM_LNC014542)". The record is from RNAcentral. Lineage: Eukaryota; Viridiplantae; Streptophyta; Magnoliopsida; Rosales; Rosaceae.
AUUGAAACUAGUUUUGUAGAAUGAGUAUCCCAUCAAAACAAUAGAUUCACUAAUACUUAAGGGUUUAUUCAUACUUUUAUUAAGUAUAACAUAAGAUUUUGUGGUAUCCACUAGUGUAAAUAUUUUAAAUUGAAGAUCGAAUUCAAUCACUGUAUUCAUAUAGGGUCAAUGAGUGUGGUUGUAAAAAAUCAUCAAAAUUGGAGUUAAAAUGACCGUUAAAUCGUGAUUUUUCGUUUAUAACCGUUAAAAAGUUUUGUCCCAUUACUUGCUCUCUGAAUGUUUGUUUUUUGCAAUUUUUGGCGUAUGCGAUCUCAAAGUAUAUACAAACAUGUUUGCUGGUUGGAUUGUUGAAAUUAGUUUCGUAUAAUUCGUAUCC